Molecule: non-coding RNA, 76 nt
Organism: Phthorimaea operculella (potato tuberworm)
Lineage: Eukaryota; Metazoa; Arthropoda; Insecta; Lepidoptera; Gelechiidae
Source: the annotation of a GenBank genome assembly
GGAUUUGGUGCAGUGGUUAGUACUUACAACUGCCUGCCACGCAGAAGGUUCCGGGUUCAAUUCCCGGUGGGGUUCC